This 322-nucleotide ribosomal RNA is filed under the name uncultured Acidobacteriota bacterium. RNAcentral describes it as "bacterial SSU rRNA". It matches the Rfam family "Bacterial small subunit ribosomal RNA", at positions 21 to 358 of the family's 1533-position model. The record is from RNAcentral. Lineage: Bacteria; Pseudomonadati; Acidobacteriota.
GGCUCAGGGCAAACGCUGGCGGCGCGCUUCACACAUGCAAGUCGCACGAGAAAGGGGGCAACCCUGAGUAAAGUGGCGUACGGGUGAUUACCACGUGGAUUAUCUACCUUUUAGUGGGGAAUACCUCCGGGAAACUGGAGACAAUACCGCAUAAGCCUGUAAAGGGAAAGCAGCAAUGCGCUGAAAGAGGAGUCCGCGGCUGAUUAUGCUAGUUGGCGGGGUAAUGGCCCACCAAGGCGAAGAUCGGUAGCCGGCCUGAGAGGGCUCACGGCCACACUGGCACUGAAACACGGGCCAGACUCCUACGGGAGGCAGCAGUGGG